UUCAGUCCACUCAGGGGCGGUGCUAGGGUCGGAUUAGCUGCCGACUCAUUCACCCACAUGCCAAGCAAACGGCCAUGGAAACGAGCUUCGCAGAUGAGUGAAUGAAGCGGGAGGUAAAAGCUUCGAUCUCGCACCGUCUUUGCUUGGACUGAAGGGUGCUCCCUCCGAUCCUUUCCUUGUUUACUUUACCCAUGCAGCUUCAUCAUUCGUAUCUCAAGUCAAGGUUUUACUUCAUAUGAUCUGUAUUUUAUUUUCCAACCUGCUGUCUCGAACUCUUGAUCUGUCUUUGCUUGAGCUGCUUAUUAAUUAUUAUCUUGCA
RNAcentral lists this precursor RNA (319 nucleotides) under Zea mays. RNAcentral's name for it is "precursor miRNA zma-miR319d". The stretch from base 1 to 175 matches the Rfam family "MIR159 microRNA precursor family", at positions 21 to 196 of the family's 196-position model. The record is from RNAcentral. Lineage: Eukaryota; Viridiplantae; Streptophyta; Magnoliopsida; Poales; Poaceae.